Chinchilla lanigera (long-tailed chinchilla) is the source of this 511-nucleotide long non-coding RNA. RefSeq lists it as uncharacterized. The transcript has 4 exons. The record is from RefSeq and is a predicted model, not a curated record. NCBI's taxonomy places the organism in Eukaryota, Metazoa, Chordata, Mammalia, Rodentia, Chinchillidae.
UGUUUCAAUCUUCUUUAUACGGUUGAAAACAGGAAAGCCUCCUGUCACGCAGACUCCAGGAUUCUCAGGGCCCAAUAAAGAUAAAGCAAGCAGUAUAUGACAAUAAAAGUUCUGUAUUAUGUGACAUAAUUUAUCCAUCAAAAGAAAAGCAUACCUCGCCAACAACAUAAAUGGAGCAUCCUGCUGAAGAUGAAGAAAAGACCAUGGCAAGACUACCAGACAGAAAUUUAACAUCUGGCCGCUGGUUGCGAUUCAACCUACUGUGAGGCAAAAAGCAAAUGAGGGAAAAUAGGGGUCACUUGUUUCAGGCUCCUAAUUUUGCAUCAUUAUAUUCCCCUGGAAAAUAAUGUGACGUCCAGCAUUUCAACCGCAUCCGAAGGCCGCAGUCACCUCUCAGGUACAAGAUACAUCAGGCUCUCUGCAGCUGAGAACAUACUCCCUUCUGUCCCCAGUAAGAGUCACCUCCAUUCAGAAAACAGUAAAUACAAGAAGGGGGCCAAUAAAAAUUAAA